This 74-nucleotide transfer RNA is filed under the name Alphaproteobacteria bacterium. Its description in RNAcentral is "tRNA-Cys". It matches the Rfam family "tRNA". Rfam says of the family: Transfer RNA (tRNA) molecules are approximately 80 nucleotides in length. Lineage: Bacteria; Pseudomonadati; Pseudomonadota; Alphaproteobacteria. The record is from RNAcentral.
GGCGCGGUGGCAGAGUGGUUAUGCAGCGGAUUGCAAAUCCGUGUACACCGGUUCGACUCCGGUCCGUGCCUCCA